This is a non-coding RNA of Camellia sinensis, 184 nucleotides long. NCBI's taxonomy places the organism in Eukaryota, Viridiplantae, Streptophyta, Magnoliopsida, Ericales, Theaceae. The record is from RefSeq and is a predicted model, not a curated record.
UUUUCAAUGUUUGAGAUGCUUGAGGGAUUUUCAACAAUACAAAAUUGCAACUAGGUCAGCAAUUAUUAUUCAAUCUCACACACAUGGAUGGAUUGCUCGAAGAGUUGCUUAUCGACUAAAAUGUCUCAUCGUUGUAAUUCAAAGUCAUUGCCGUGGUUGGUUAAUAAGAAGGGAGAUUGUGGUC